This 484-nucleotide ribosomal RNA is filed under the name uncultured bacterium. Its description in RNAcentral is "partial 16S ribosomal RNA". It matches the Rfam family "Bacterial small subunit ribosomal RNA", at positions 28 to 523 of the family's 1533-position model. The record is from RNAcentral.
GACGAACGCUGGCGGCGUGCUUAACACAUGCAAGUCGAACGAUGAACCCGGAGCUUGCUCCGGUGGAUUAGUGGCGAACGGGUGAGUAACACGUGAGUAACCUGCCCUUGACUCUGGGAUAACUGCGGGAAACUGUAGCUAAUACCGGAUACGACCCUCGGCGGCAUCGCCAGGGGGUGGAAAGAAUUUCGGUCAAGGAUGGACUCGGGGCCUAUCAGCUAGAUGGUGAGGUAACGGCUCACCAAGGCGACGACGGGUAGCCGGCCUGAGAGGGUGAACGGCCAAACGGGGACUGGGGCACGGCCCAGACUCCUACGGGGGGAAGCAGUGGGGAAUAUUGCACAAUGGGCGCAAGCCUGAUGCAGCAACGCCGCGUGAGGGAUUACGGCCUUCGGGUUGUAAACCUCUUUUAGUAGGGAAGAAGCGAAAGUGACGGUACCUGCAGAAAAAGCACCGGCUAACUACGUGCCAGCCGCCGCCGUAA